RNAcentral lists this ribosomal RNA (483 nucleotides) under uncultured bacterium. RNAcentral describes it as "partial 16S ribosomal RNA". It matches the Rfam family "Bacterial small subunit ribosomal RNA", at positions 28 to 507 of the family's 1533-position model. The record is from RNAcentral.
GACGAACGCUGGCGGCGUGCUUAACACAUGCAAGUCGAACGCUGAAGCUCAGCUUUUGUUGGGUGGAUGAGUGGCGAACGGGUGAGUAACACGUGAGUAACCUGCCUCCUUCUUUGGGAUAACGCCCGGAAACGGGUGCUAAUACUGGAUAUUCACUGGUCUUCGCAUGGGGGUUGGUGGAAAGGGUUUUUCUGGUGGGGGAUGGGCUCGCGGCCUAUCAGCUUGUUGGUGGGGUGAUGGCCUACCAAGGCUUUGACGGGUAGCCGGCCUGAGAGGGUGACCGGUCACAUUGGGAGUGAGAUACGGCCCAGACUCAUACGGGAGGCAGCAGUGGGGAAGAUUGCACAAUGGGCGCAAGCAUGAUGCAGCGACGCCGCGUGAGGGAUGGAGGCCUUCGGGUUGUGAACCUCUUUCGCUCAUGGUCAAGCCGCAACAAUGGUUGUGGUGAGGGUAGUGGGUAAAGAAGCGCCGGCUAACUACGUG